UAACACGUGGGUAACCUACCUAUAAGACUGGAAUAACUCCGGGAAACCGGGGCUAAUGCCGGAUAACAUUUAGAACCGCAUGGUUCUAAAGUGAAAGAUGGUUUUGCUAUCACUUAUAGAUGGACCCGCGCCGUAUUAGCUAGUUGGUAAGGUAAUGGCUUACCAAGGCAACGAUACGUAGCCGACCUGAGAGGGUGAUCGGCCACACUGGAACUGAGACACGGUCCAGACUCCUACGGGAGGCAGCAGUAGGGAAUCUUCCGCAAUGGGCGAAAGCCUGACGGAGCAACGCCGCGUGAGUGAUGAAGGGUUUCGGCUCGUAAAACUCUGUUAUUAGGGAAGAACAAACGUGUAAGUAACUGUGCACGUCUUGACGGUACCUAAUCAGAAAGCCACGGCUAACUACGUGCCAGCAGCCGCGGUAAUACGUAGGUGGCAAGCGUUAUCCGGAAUUAUUGGGCGUAAAGCGCGCGUAGGCGGUUUCUUAAGUCUGAUGUGAAAGCCCACGGCUCAACCGUGGAGGGUCAUUGGAAACUGGGAGACUUGAGUGCAGAAGAGGAAAGUGGAAUUCCAUGUGUAGCGGUGAAAUGCGCAGAGAUAUGGAGGAACACCAGUGGGCGAAGGCGACUUUCUGGUCUGUAACUGACGCUGAUGUGCGAAAGCGUGGGGAUCAAACAGGAUUAGAUACCCUGAUAGUCCACGCCCGUAAACGAUG
This 715-nucleotide ribosomal RNA is filed under the name Staphylococcus arlettae. Its description in RNAcentral is "bacterial SSU rRNA". It matches the Rfam family "Bacterial small subunit ribosomal RNA", at positions 111 to 811 of the family's 1533-position model. Lineage: Bacteria; Bacillati; Bacillota; Bacilli; Caryophanales; Staphylococcaceae. The record is from RNAcentral.